This 75-nucleotide transfer RNA is filed under the name Clostridiales bacterium. RNAcentral's name for it is "tRNA-Gly". It matches the Rfam family "tRNA". From Rfam's summary of the family: Transfer RNA (tRNA) molecules are approximately 80 nucleotides in length. Their secondary structure includes four short double-helical elements and three loops (D, anti-codon, and T loops). The record is from RNAcentral. RNAcentral also lists the same sequence under 1 other name. Lineage: Bacteria; Bacillati; Bacillota; Clostridia; Eubacteriales.
GCGGGAAUGGCUCAGUGGUAGAGCGCUGCCUUGCCAAGGCAGAUGCCGCGAGUUCGAAUCUCGUUUCCCGCUCCA